GCCAGCGUAGCUCAAUGGUAGAGCAAUUGUUUUGUAAACAAUAGGUUGCGGGUUCGAUUCCUGUCGCUGGCU
Molecule: transfer RNA, 72 nt
Filed under: Elusimicrobiota bacterium
Lineage: Bacteria; Pseudomonadati; Elusimicrobiota
Also listed under: 1 other name
Description: Elusimicrobia bacterium tRNA-Thr
Rfam family: tRNA
About the family: Transfer RNA (tRNA) molecules are approximately 80 nucleotides in length.
Source: RNAcentral